This 60-nucleotide small nuclear RNA is filed under the name Alligator mississippiensis (American alligator). RNAcentral's name for it is "U7 small nuclear RNA". It matches the Rfam family "U7 small nuclear RNA". From Rfam's summary of the family: Animal histone pre-mRNAs are spliced by a different mechanism than nuclear pre-mRNAs and self-splicing introns. This processing involves the U7 snRNP, which contains only one RNA species: U7. The record is from Rfam by way of RNAcentral. Lineage: Eukaryota; Metazoa; Chordata; Crocodylia; Alligatoridae.
CUGUUUUCUAGCUCUUUUAGUAUUUGUCUAGAAGGUUUUUUACAUUGGUGGAAAACCACA